UCCAUGUACCAGUUUCAUGGUGUCUUGCCUC
Molecule: non-coding RNA, 31 nt
Filed under: Mus musculus (house mouse)
Lineage: Eukaryota; Metazoa; Chordata; Mammalia; Rodentia; Muridae
Source: RNAcentral